CCCCGGACGCCUAAAGAUUCUGCCUUUAAUGAUGUACCUGCAUCGUCCCCAUUAUCGCCUAUGCAAUCUCCCAAGGGCGAUCGCCAUGUUCAUUUUGCUGGAAUUCAUGUCAUGCAGAACAAUGACAACAAUAAUAAUAAUGGUAAUAACAAUGAUACAGAUGCAGAUAUCGAAGCACAUUCGAGCAAAGAUGAAACAGAGAAUUCUCAUAAUCCCACAACAGCAGAGAAAGUACUUGAGAGACCGAAUUCGUCAAAGGAAAGUGAAAUUCCUUUAAGACUCACUGUCUCACCUUGAUACAUAUUGUAACCAUACAGGAUCUGAUCUAUGAGGAGAAUGCUUCACGUAUCAGGGACUCAUGAUUUGCAGGAUGCAUAGUAAAAACCAGAACCAAUGUGAUUGCAGGCAAGGGAUGUUCUUGGUGAAUUAUUUCCUGUAAUUUUGAUUGAAAAUGAUCAUGUUGCAAUGAACAAAAAGGAGAGAGGAUUUCUAUUGCAUUAGCUGAAAAAGCAGGAGAGACACAUAUAUGCAUUCUGUAAGUACUUGUAAGGGUUCUAAAUCUAGAAAGGUUUUGGUCUAUGAUCAUGUGAAGAAAAUUAGUGAAAAGAGGAGAACCUUUUCUUGACUACUGUUUUUUCUUUAUGUUUUGGUUGUUUUGGCAUGCUAGAGGUACUAAAUCUUAUAAACAGUUUUCAUUUUCAUGGAUGAUAUCCUUUAAAUCUUCUUUUCAGUACAAAGAAUCUGCGUCCUACUUGGGGAACAACUAUGAUUUAUUCUCAGAACUAGAGUAGGGAAAGCAUCAGAGAUUUAAGAAAUAGAACAAUCAUAAAUGAAAGCAAAUAGAGAAUAAACCAGAAAGUUAGAACCAUGCUUUGAAAUAAUGGAAGAUAGAAGAUAGUCCAACAGAAUCUACGAUAUUCUUUAAGUCAGUAGCAUCAUAUGGAACUAAUUACAGUCAUACUAGGAAACUAGCAUAACAAUGAUGAUAUCAAAAAUUUCUAAAGCUGAUAAAUGUCAAAAUCUACCUAGUAAAUGUACCUAAAUACAUUAAAGAAAUCACUAAGCAAUAAUACAUAAGUACUCCUAAUAUGUAAACAAAUAGACAAAGAUGAUUUCUGAGUGAGAAUCAAAUCAAUCUGUGUUUCAUACUCAAUAUUUUGGGUGCACCUUCUUCUUUUUAACUUGACAAUUACAGUCCCNNN
Molecule: long non-coding RNA, 1202 nt
Filed under: Carica papaya (papaya)
Lineage: Eukaryota; Viridiplantae; Streptophyta; Magnoliopsida; Brassicales; Caricaceae
Description: long non-coding RNA (CPAP_LNC007669)
Source: RNAcentral